This 73-nucleotide transfer RNA is filed under the name Felis catus (domestic cat). It matches the Rfam family "tRNA". From Rfam's summary of the family: Transfer RNA (tRNA) molecules are approximately 80 nucleotides in length. Their secondary structure includes four short double-helical elements and three loops (D, anti-codon, and T loops). The record is from Rfam by way of RNAcentral. Lineage: Eukaryota; Metazoa; Chordata; Mammalia; Carnivora; Felidae. RNAcentral also lists the same sequence under 2 other names.
ACCCAGCUGGUUCAGUCGGAGGAGCGUGAGACUCUUGAUCUCAGGGUUGUGAGUUCAAGCCCUUCGCUGGAUG